RNAcentral lists this transfer RNA (64 nucleotides) under Anacestra spiniger. Its description in RNAcentral is "tRNA-Phe". The record is from RNAcentral. Lineage: Eukaryota; Metazoa; Arthropoda; Insecta; Hemiptera; Alydidae.
AUUUAAGUAGCUUAAUAUAAAGUUUAAUAUUGAAGAUAUUAGGAUAAGGCUUACUUCUUAAAUA